RNAcentral lists this ribosomal RNA (670 nucleotides) under uncultured Lachnospiraceae bacterium. RNAcentral describes it as "bacterial SSU rRNA". It matches the Rfam family "Bacterial small subunit ribosomal RNA", at positions 47 to 730 of the family's 1533-position model. Lineage: Bacteria; Bacillati; Bacillota; Clostridia; Lachnospirales; Lachnospiraceae. The record is from RNAcentral.
CCUAACACAUGCAAGUCGAACGAGCAAGAGAGAGCUUGCUUUCUCGAGCGAGUGGCGAACGGGUGAGUAACGCGUGAGGAACCUGCCUCAAAGAGGGGGACAACAGUUGGAAACGACUGCUAAUACCGCAUAAGCCCACGGGUCGGCAUCGACCAGAGGGAAAAGGAGCAAUCCGCUUUGAGAUGGCCUCGCGUCCGAUUAGCUAGUUGGUGAGGUAACGGCCCACCAAGGCGACGAUCGGUAGCCGGACUGAGAGGUUGAACGGCCACAUUGGGACUGAGACACGGCCCAGACUCCUACGGGAGGCAGCAGUGGGGAAUAUUGCACAAUGGGGGAAACCCUGAUGCAGCGACGCCGCGUGGAGGAAGAAGGUCUUCGGAUUGUAAACUCCUGUUGUUGGGGAAGAUAAUGACGGUACCCAACGAGGAAGUGACGGCUAACUACGUGCCAGCAGCCGCGGUAAAACGUAGGUCACAAGCGUUGUCCGGAAUUACUGGGUGUAAAGGGAGCGCAGGCGGGAAGACAAGUUGGAAGUGAAAUCUAUGGGCUCAACCCAUAAACUGCUUUCAAAACUGUUUUUCUUGAGUAGUGCAGAGGUAGGCGGAAUUCCCGGUGUAGCGGUGGAAUGCGUAGAUAUCGGGAGGAACACCAGUGGCGAAGGCGGCCUACU